AGUGAACGUUGGCGGCGUGGAUUAGGCAUGCAAGUCGAGCGAGAACCGUAGCAAUACGGGGACAGCGGCGAAAGGGACAGUAAUGUGUAGGUACCUACCCCGAGGUCUGGGAUAGCUGCGGGAAACUGCAGGUAAUACCGGACAAUGUCUUCGGACGAAAGGUGUGAUUCCACCUUGGGAGGGGCAUGCAUCCUAUUAGCUUGUUGGCGGGGUAACGGCCCAACAAGGCGACGAUGGGUAGCGGGUGGGAGAGCACGAGCCGCGUAAUUGGGACUGAGAAUCUGCCCAGACACCUACGGGUGGCUGCAGUCGAGGAACUUCGGCAAUGGGCGCAAGGCUGACCGAGCGACGCCGCGUGCGGGAUGAAGGCCUUCGGGUUGUAAACCGCUGUCGUAGAGGAGGAAAUGCAGGGGGGUUCUCCCUUCUGUUUGACCUAUUCUAGGAGGAAGGACGGGCUAAGUUCGUGCCAGCAGCCGCGGUAA
Molecule: ribosomal RNA, 482 nt
Filed under: uncultured bacterium
Lineage: Bacteria
Description: partial 16S ribosomal RNA
Rfam family: Bacterial small subunit ribosomal RNA
Source: RNAcentral